RNAcentral lists this ribosomal RNA (322 nucleotides) under uncultured Sandonidae. RNAcentral describes it as "SSU rRNA". The stretch from base 110 to 322 matches the Rfam family "Eukaryotic small subunit ribosomal RNA", at positions 741 to 955 of the family's 1831-position model. The record is from RNAcentral. Lineage: Eukaryota; Cercozoa; Glissomonadida; Viridiraptoridae.
GAUUUCUGGCUCGUUGCCCUAGCCCGCUUACUUCGGUGGGUGAGUGCUGGUGCAAUCUGCCAUCCUUCCAGAGAGCCGUGAGUACCAUUUACUUGGCCGCUCGCGUGCGAUCUGGAUCAUUUACUUUGAAAAAAUUAGAGUGUUUAAAGCAGGCUUACGCCUUGAAUACAUUAGCAUGGAAUAAUAACAUAGGACUUCGGUUCUAUUUUGUUGGUUUCUAGGACCUUAGUAAUGAUUGAUAGGGAUAGUUGGGGGUGCUAGUAUUCGGCGGCCAGAGGUGAAAUUCUUGGAUUCGCUGAAGACUAACUACUGCGAAAGCAUU